Molecule: ribosomal RNA, 253 nt
Filed under: uncultured bacterium
Lineage: Bacteria
Description: partial 16S ribosomal RNA
Rfam family: Bacterial small subunit ribosomal RNA
Source: RNAcentral
UACGUAGGGUGCAAGCGUUAAUCGGAAUUACUGGGCGUAAAGCGUGCGCAGGCGGUUGUGUAAGACAGAUGUGAAAUCCCCGGGCUUAACCUGGGAACUGCAUUUGUGACUGCACAGCUGGAGUGCGGCAGAGGGGGAUGGAAUUCCGCGUGUAGCAGUGAAAUGCGUAGAUAUGCGGAGGAACACCGAUGGCGAAGGCAAUCCCCUGGGCCUGCACUGACGCUCAUGCACGAAAGCGCGGGGAGCAAACAGG